This 488-nucleotide ribosomal RNA is filed under the name uncultured bacterium. Its description in RNAcentral is "partial 16S ribosomal RNA". It matches the Rfam family "Bacterial small subunit ribosomal RNA", at positions 28 to 507 of the family's 1533-position model. The record is from RNAcentral.
GACGAACGCUGGCGGCGUGCUUAACACAUGCAAGUCGAACGGAAAGGCCCUGCUUUUGUGGGGUGCUCGAGUGGCGAACGGGUGAGUAACACGUGAGUAACCUGCCCUUGACUUUGGGAUAACUUCAGGAAACUGGGGCUAAUACCGGAUAGGAGCUCCUGCUGCAUGGUGGGGGUUGGAAAGUUUCGGCGGUUGGGGAUGGACUCGCGGCGUAUCAGCUUGUUGGUGGGGUAGUGGCUUACCAAGGCUUCGAUGGGUAGCCGACCUGAGAGGGUGAUCGGCCACACUGGAACUGAGACACGGUCCAGACUCCUACGGGAGGCAGCAGUAGGGAAUCUUCCGCAAUGGGCGAAAGCCUGACGGAGCAACGCCGCGUGAGUGAUGAAGGUCUUCGGAUCGUAAAACUCUGUUAUUAGGGAAGAACAAAUGUGUAAGUAACUAUGCACGUCUUGACGGUACCUAAUCAGAAAGCCACGGCUAACUACGUG